Molecule: ribosomal RNA, 301 nt
Filed under: uncultured bacterium
Lineage: Bacteria
Description: partial 16S ribosomal RNA
Rfam family: Bacterial small subunit ribosomal RNA
Source: RNAcentral
CAGUCGCCGCGGUAAUGCGAAGGGUGCAAGCGUUAAUCGGAAUUACUGGGCGUAAAGCGUGCGUAGGCGGUGAGUUAAGUCUGCUGUGAAAUCCCCGGGCUCAACCUGGGAAUGGCAGUGGAUACUGGCUCGCUAGAGUGUGUCAGAGGAUGGUGGAAUUCCCGGUGUAGCGGUGAAAUGCGUAGAGAUCGGGAGGAACAUCAGUGGCGAAGGCGGCCAUCUGGGACAACACUGACGCUGAGGCACGAAAGCGUGGGGAGCAAACAGGAUUAGAUACCCCGGUAGUCCCUGUCUCUUAUAC